GAUGAACGCUGGCGGCGUGCCUAAUACAUGCAAGUCGAGCGAACAGACGAGGAGCCUGCUCCUCUGACGUUAGCGGCGGACGGGUGAGUAACACGUGGAUAACCUACCUAUAAGACUGGGAUAACUUCGGGAAACCGGAGCUAAUACCGGAUAAUAUAUUGAACCGCAUGGAUCAAUAGUGAAAGACGGUUUUGCUGUCACUUAUAGAUGGAUCCGCGCCGCAUUAGCUAGUUGGUAAGGUAACGGCUUACCAAGGCAACGAUGCGUAGCCGACCUGAGAGGGUGAUCGGCCACACUGGAACUGAGACACGGUCCAGACUCCUACGGGAGGCAGCAGUAGGGAAUCUUCCGCAAUGGGCGAAAGCCUGACGGAGCAACGCCGCGUGAGUGAUGAAGGUCUUCGGAUCGUAAAACUCUGUUAUUAGGGAAGAACAAAUGUGUAAGUAACUAUGCACGUCUUGACGGUACCUAAUCAGAAAGCCACGGCUAACUACGUG
RNAcentral lists this ribosomal RNA (497 nucleotides) under uncultured bacterium. Its description in RNAcentral is "partial 16S ribosomal RNA". It matches the Rfam family "Bacterial small subunit ribosomal RNA", at positions 28 to 507 of the family's 1533-position model. The record is from RNAcentral.